UACGGGGGGGGCAAGCGUUGUUCGGAAUUACUGGGCGUAAAGGGUUCGUAGGUGGCCAAUUAAGUCAGACGUGAAAUCCCUCAGCUUAACUGGGGAACUGCGUCUGAGACUGGAUGGCUUGAGUGCAGGAGAGGAACGCGGAAUUCCAGGUGUAGCGGUGAAAUGCGUAGAUAUCGGGAGGAAUGCCAGUGGCGAAGGCGGCUUCCUGGCCUGCCCCUGACGCUGAGACGCGAAAGCUGGGGGAGCGAACGGG
RNAcentral lists this ribosomal RNA (253 nucleotides) under uncultured bacterium. RNAcentral describes it as "partial 16S ribosomal RNA". It matches the Rfam family "Bacterial small subunit ribosomal RNA", at positions 524 to 776 of the family's 1533-position model. The record is from RNAcentral.